UGAAAAGUUCAAAGUUUUAGAGGAAGC
This 27-nucleotide non-coding RNA is filed under the name Rattus norvegicus (Norway rat). The record is from RNAcentral. Lineage: Eukaryota; Metazoa; Chordata; Mammalia; Rodentia; Muridae.